UGUCACCUUAUAUGUCUAUAAAAGAAGCUGCUAAAUCAAUUCUAGGUUGGGCAGGUUUCGUCUCAUCUGUGGUAGUUGAAAAAUUCAAGAAUAUUGAAGCUUUAAAACAAGCCAAAUGUCCAGUGUUCUUUUUGCAUGGCUAAAAAGACAACUUAAUUCCAUUCCAACAUAGCGUAGAAAUGAACAACGUGUGUCCAGAUGCCAGCUUCCUACAUCUACCUGAAAACAUGACUCAUAAUGAUUUUGAUAUUACUGAUGAUCUGAUAGUACCUUUCCGCGAUUUCAUUAUGAAAGUUGAUGAACCUUUAAGGCAUGAAGAAGACCUUAAACGAAAGCGUGAAGGUAAAGUUGAUCCAUUCGCUUAGGGCUAAAGCUGGG
RNAcentral lists this ribosomal RNA (378 nucleotides) under Strombidinopsis acuminata. Its description in RNAcentral is "partial Eukaryotic small subunit ribosomal RNA". The record is from RNAcentral. Lineage: Eukaryota; Ciliophora; Spirotrichea; Choreotrichida; Strombidinopsidae.